UACGGAGGGUGCAAGCGUUAAUCGGAAUUACUGGGCGUAAAGCGCGCGUAGGCCGCUUUUUAAGUCAGAGGUGAAAUCCCAGCGCUCAACGUUGGAAUUGCCUUUGAUACUGGAGAGCUUGAGUUCGUGAGAGGGUGGCGGAAUUCCUGGUGUAGGAGUGACAUCCGUAGAGAUCAGGAGGAACACCGGUGGCGAAGGCGGCCACCUGGCACGAUACUGACGCUGAGGUG
Molecule: ribosomal RNA, 230 nt
Filed under: uncultured microorganism
Description: partial 16S ribosomal RNA
Rfam family: Bacterial small subunit ribosomal RNA
Source: RNAcentral